This 503-nucleotide ribosomal RNA is filed under the name uncultured bacterium. RNAcentral's name for it is "partial 16S ribosomal RNA". It matches the Rfam family "Bacterial small subunit ribosomal RNA", at positions 29 to 507 of the family's 1533-position model. The record is from RNAcentral.
AACGAACGCUGGCGGCGUGCCUAACACAUGCAAGUCGAACGAGAAAGGGGCUUCGGCUCCGAGUAAAGUGGCGCACGGGUGAGUAACACGUGGGUAACCUGCCUCUAAGAUUGGGAUAACUCGUCGAAAGAUGAGCUAAUACCGAAUAAGACCACAGUACCCGCGGGAACAGGGGUCAAAGGUAGCCUCUGCUUGCAAGCUAUCACUUAGAGAUGGGCCUGCGCACCAUUAGCUAGUUGGUAGGGUAACGGCCUACCAAGGCAAAGAUGGUUAGCUGGUCUGAGAGGAUGAUCAGCCACACUGGAACUGAGACACGGUCCAGACUCCUACGGGAGGCAGCAGUGGGGAAUAUUGCGCAAUGGGCGAAAGCUUGACGCAGCAACGCCGCGUGAGUGAUGAAGGCCUUCGGGUCGUAAAGCUCUGUCGGGAGGAACGAAUGCUCCUGAGGUUAACAGCCUCGGGAGGUGACGGUACCUGCAAAGGAAGCACCGGCUAACUCUGUG